GGCGCGGUAGCUCAGCUGGUCAGAGCGCAUGAUUCAUAAUCAUGAGGUCGGGAGUUCAAGCCUCCCCCGCGCUACCG
Molecule: transfer RNA, 77 nt
Filed under: Bacteroidota bacterium
Lineage: Bacteria; Pseudomonadati; Bacteroidota
Description: Bacteroidetes bacterium (sediment metagenome) tRNA-Met
Rfam family: tRNA
About the family: Transfer RNA (tRNA) molecules are approximately 80 nucleotides in length.
Source: RNAcentral